UACGUAGGGUGCAAGCGUUGUCCGGAAUUAUUGGGCGUAAAGAGCGUGUAGGCGGUCCGGUAAGUCCGCUGUGAAAGUCGGGGGCUCAACCCUCGAAUGCCGGUGGAUACUGUCGGGCUAGAGUGCGGAAGAGGCGAGUGGAAUUCCUGGUGUAGCGGUGAAAUGCGCAGAUAUCAGGAGGAACACCAAUGGCGAAGGCAGCUCACUGGGACGGUAUUGACGCUGAGACGCGAAAGCGUGGGGAGCAAACAGG
This 253-nucleotide ribosomal RNA is filed under the name uncultured bacterium. Its description in RNAcentral is "partial 16S ribosomal RNA". It matches the Rfam family "Bacterial small subunit ribosomal RNA", at positions 524 to 776 of the family's 1533-position model. The record is from RNAcentral.